RNAcentral lists this ribosomal RNA (495 nucleotides) under uncultured bacterium. Its description in RNAcentral is "partial 16S ribosomal RNA". It matches the Rfam family "Bacterial small subunit ribosomal RNA", at positions 28 to 507 of the family's 1533-position model. The record is from RNAcentral.
GACGAACGCUGGCGGCGUGCCUAAUACAUGCAAGUAGAACGCUGAAGGAGGAGCUUGCUUCUCUGGAUGAGUUGCGAACGGGUGAGUAACGCGUAGGUAACCUGCCUGGUAGCGGGGGAUAACUAUUGGAAACGAUAGCUAAUACCGCAUAAUAGUAGAUGUUGCAUGACAUUUGCUUAAAAGGUGCAAUUGCAUCACUACCAGAUGGACCUGCGUUGUAUUAGCUAGUUGGUGGGGUAACGGCUCACCAAGGCGACGAUACAUAGCCGACCUGAGAGGGUGAUCGGCCACACUGGGACGGAGACACGGCCCAGACUCCUACGGGAGGCAGCAGUAGGGAAUCUGCGGCAAUGGACGGAAGUCUGACCGAGCAACGCCGCGUGAGUGAAGAAGGUUUUCGGAUCGUAAAGCUCUGUUGUAAGAGAAGAACGAGUGUGAGAGUGGAAAGUUCACACUGUGACGGUAUCUUACCAGAAAGGGACGGCUAACUACGUG